AGCAGUAGCCGCGGUAACACGUAGGUGGCAAGCGUUGUCCGGAAUUAUUGGGCGUAAAGCGCGCGCAGGUGGUUUAAUAAGUCUGAUGUGAAAGCCCACGGCUCAACCGUGGAGGGUCAUUGGAAACUGUUAAACUUGAGUGCAGGAGAGAAAAGUGGAAUUCCUAGUGUAGCGGUGAAAUGCGUAGAGAUUAGGAGGAACACCAGUGGCGAAGGCGGCUUUUUGGCCUGUAACUGACACUGAGGCGCGAAAGCGUGGGGAGCAAACAGGAUUAGAUACCCGGGUAGUCCCUGUCUCUUAUAC
Molecule: ribosomal RNA, 303 nt
Filed under: uncultured bacterium
Lineage: Bacteria
Description: partial 16S ribosomal RNA
Rfam family: Bacterial small subunit ribosomal RNA
Source: RNAcentral